This 459-nucleotide ribosomal RNA is filed under the name uncultured bacterium. Its description in RNAcentral is "partial 16S ribosomal RNA". It matches the Rfam family "Bacterial small subunit ribosomal RNA", at positions 338 to 795 of the family's 1533-position model. The record is from RNAcentral.
CCUACGGGUGGCAGCAGUGAGGAAUAUUGGUCAAUGGUCGGGAGACUGAACCAGCCAAGCCGCGUGAGGGAGGAAGGUACAGAGUAUCGUAAACCUCUUUUGUCAGGGAACAAAGACUGGGACGCGUCCCCGGAUGAGUGUACCUGAAGAAAAAGCAUCGGCUAACUCCGUGCCAGCAGCCGCGGUAAUACGGAGGAUGCGAGCGUUAUCCGGAUUUAUUGGGUUUAAAGGGUGCGCAGGCGGAGGUGAAAGUCAGCGGUAAAAUUGCGGGGCUCAACCCCGUACGGCCGUUGAAACUGGUUCCCUUGAGGGCGCGAGAAGUAGGCGGAAUGCGUGGUGUAGCGGUGAAAUGCAUAGAUAUCACGCAGAACUCCGAUUGCGAAGGCAGCAUACCGGCGCGCAACUGACGCUCAUGCACGAAAGCGUGGGUAUCGAACAGGAUUAGAUACCCUAGUAGUC